CUAUUUUUUCAAGGGGAGGAAAUUCAAUGGACGUUACCCUGAGGGAAUUAAGCAUUGGGCUAAAUUUCCGUGCCAAGCAGCCCGCGGUAAAGACCGAGGAAUGCAAAGUGUUUUCCGGAAUCACUGGGCGUAAAGCGUCUGUAGGUGGCUUAACAAGUCAACUGUUAAAUCUUGAAGCUCAACUUCGAAAUCGCAGUCGAAACUGUUAGGCUAGAGUAUAGUAGGGGUAAAGGGAAUUUCCAGUGGAGCGGUGAAAUGCGUAGAGAUUGGAAAGAACACCGAUGGCGAAGGCACUUUACUGGGCUAUUACUGACACUCAGAGACGAAAGCUAGGGUAGCAAAUGGGAUUAGAUACCCCAGUAGUCCUAGCCGUAAACAAUGGAUACUAGAUGUUGGGCAGAUCGACCUGUUCAGUAUUAAAGCUAACGCGUUAAGUAUCCCGCCUGGGAAGUAUGCGCGCAAGCGUGAAACUCAAAGGAAUUGACGGGGGCCCGCACAAGCGGUGGAGCAUGUGGUUUAAUUCGAUGCAACGCGAAGAACCUUACCAGGGUUUGACAUGAUACGAAUUUUUUUGAAAGAAAAAAGUGCCGUUUGGAACGUAUACACAGGUGGUGCAUGGCUGUCGUCAGCUCGUGUCGUGAGAUGUUGGGUUAAGUCCCGCAACGAGCGCAACCCUUAUUUUUAGUUGCCUUUUAUGGAACUCUAGAAAGACUGCUGGUUAUAAACCGGAGGAAGGCGGGGAUGACGUCAAGUCAGCAUGCCCCUUACACCCUGGGCUACACACGUGCUACAUUGGGCGAGACAAUGAGACGCAAACCUGCGAAGGCUAGCUAAUCUAUAAACUCGUUCUAAGUUCGGAUUGCAGGCUGCAACUCGCCUGCAUGAAGGUGGAAUCGCUAGUAAUCGCUGGUCAGCUACACAGCGGUGAAUCCGUUCCCGGGCCUUGUACACACCGCCCGUCACACCAUGGAAGCUGGUUAUACCCGAAGUCAUUACUCUAACCAUUCGGAGGAGGGUGCCUAAGGUAGAAUUAGUGACUGGGGUGAAGUCGUAACAAGGUAACCGUA
RNAcentral lists this ribosomal RNA (1067 nucleotides) under uncultured bacterium. RNAcentral describes it as "bacterial SSU rRNA". It matches the Rfam family "Bacterial small subunit ribosomal RNA", at positions 430 to 1504 of the family's 1533-position model. The record is from RNAcentral.